The sequence is a transfer RNA, 89 nucleotides long. It matches the Rfam family "tRNA". From Rfam's summary of the family: Transfer RNA (tRNA) molecules are approximately 80 nucleotides in length. Their secondary structure includes four short double-helical elements and three loops (D, anti-codon, and T loops).
GGCACUUUGGCGGAGUGGUUAACGCGCUGCCCUGCUAUACAUGCUAGGCAGUUCCUUCGGGAGCGUGUGUUCGAAUCACACAGGUGUCG